Molecule: ribosomal RNA, 1369 nt
Filed under: uncultured bacterium
Lineage: Bacteria
Description: bacterial SSU rRNA
Rfam family: Bacterial small subunit ribosomal RNA
Source: RNAcentral
GACGAACGCUGGCGGCGUGCCUAAUACAUGCAAGUAGAACGCAGAAGAGAGGAGCUUGCUCUUCUUGGAUGAGUUGCGAACGGGUGAGUAACGCGUAGGUAACCUGCCUUGUAGCGGGGGAUAACUAUUGGAAACGAUAGCUAAUACCGCAUAACAAUGGAUGACACAUGUCAUUUAUUUGAAAGGGGCAAUUGCUCCACUACAAGAUGGACCUGCGUUGUAUUAGCUAGUAGGUGAGGUAACGGCUCACCUAGGCGACGAUACAUAGCCGACCUGAGAGGGUGAUCGGCCACACUGGGACUGAGACACGGCCCAGACUCCUACGGGAGGCAGCAGUAGGGAAUCUUCGGCAAUGGGGGCAACCCUGACCGAGCAACGCCGCGUGAGUGAAGAAGGUUUUCGGAUCGUAAAGCUCUGUUGUAAGUCAAGAACGAGUGUGAGAGUGGAAAGUUCACACUGUGACGGUAGCUUACCAGAAAGGGACGGCUAACUACGUGCCAGCAGCCGCGGUAAUACGUAGGUCCCGAGCGUUGUCCGGAUUUAUUGGGCGUAAAGCGAGCGCAGGCGGUUUGAUAAGUCUGAAGUUAAAGGCUGUGGCUCAACCAUAGUUCGCUUUGGAAACUGUCAAACUUGAGUGCAGAAGGGGAGAGUGGAAUUCCAUGUGUAGCGGUGAAAUGCGUAGAUAUAUGGAGGAACACCGGUGGCGAAAGCGGCUCUCUGGUCUGUAACUGACGCUGAGGCUCGAAAGCGUGGGGAGCGAACAGGAUUAGAUACCCUGGUAGUCCACGCCGUAAACGAUGAGUGCUAGGUGUUGGAUCCUUUCCGGGAUUCAGUGCCGCAGCUAACGCAUUAAGCACUCCGCCUGGGGAGUACGACCGCAAGGUUGAAACUCAAAGGAAUUGACGGGGGCCCGCACAAGCGGUGGAGCGUGUGGUUUAAUUCGAAGCAACGCGAAGAACCUUACCAGGUCUUGACAUCCCGAUGCUAUUUCUAGAGAUAGAAAGUUACUUCGGUACAUCGGUGACAGGUGGUGCAUGGUUGUCGUCAGCUCGUGUCGUGAGAUGUUGGGUUAAGUCCCGCAACGAGCGCAACCCCUAUUGUUAGUUGCCAUCAUUCAGUUGGGCACUCUAGCGAGACUGCCGGUAAUAAACCGGAGGAAGGUGGGGAUGACGUCAAAUCAUCAUGCCCCUUAUGACCUGGGCUACACACGUGCUACAAUGGUUGGUACAACGAGUUGCGAGUCGGUGACGGCAAGCUAAUCUCUUAAAGCCAAUCUCAGUUCGGAUUGUAGGCUGCAACUCGCCUACAUGAAGUCGGAAUCGCUAGUAAUCGCGGAUCAGCACGCCGCGGUGAAUACGUUCCCGGGCCU